RNAcentral lists this long non-coding RNA (3097 nucleotides) under Sus scrofa (pig). RNAcentral describes it as "lncRNA (ENSSSCG00000052555.1)". The record is from RNAcentral. Lineage: Eukaryota; Metazoa; Chordata; Mammalia; Artiodactyla; Suidae.
CUGAAACAUCUUGUCAAACCCAAAACAAGGAAUUAUCAAAAACUACUAGCAUUAUGUUAAAAGGACUCAAAAGCCAACUUGAAGAAGAUUUCCAGUGCCAAAUAACACAAUUAGAGUGCUAAAGGGAUAAUAACUAUGAGAUUGAACAAAUAAAAUAUGUUUAAAUCUAGAUAUUCAUGGAGUUCCCUUGUGGUGGUUAAGGAUCCCAGGUUGUCACUGCUGUGGCUAAGUUUCAGCCCCUGGCCCAGGAACUUCCCCAUGCUAUGGGCACUGCCAAAAAAAAAAAAAAAAAAAAGCAAAACCUAUAUGUUUAAAAGAGCUCAUUUUCAUCCCUGGGGGAUGCUAAUAAACCAGUUCAUCAUUUUGAAAACUGAUAAAUAAAAGGAAAGAAUUUACCCUGCCUUCCAUGCACUAACUGUAAGUCAGGUAAUGAAAAAGGUGGUGAGGGAAAGUUUCUCUUUGUAGACAUACAGCUAAUAAAUUAAAAUGGAAAGACAGACUUACGAUAUCGCCAUUUUACACCUUUUAAUGAAAUAUGAAUAAAGACAAUGGUAUUCAUUGGCUGCUAAAUCAUGAAAAUAAGAAUAUUAGAACUUUUUUGCCUCCUGAUGAAAUAUUAAUGCCCUUCAAAAAAUCAAACCUGAUUCUAAUCAAAUCUUCAGGUCUAAUUAUCAGUUUUAGUUAAUGCAGAGAAAGGGGGAAAUGUAAAAUCACCAUAAAUGCAAUCAGUCAAGUCCAAACUCUGGAAAAUUCUACAUUAUAAAUGACUUGAUUAAUAAUUUAAUUAUAAAAAAAUAAAUGAGGAGGAACUAAAGAUUAAAAGGUAACAUGAGAAAUAUCAAGCAAUUGAAAUAUAUGAACUUUUUUGAAUAUUGAUUCAAACAAAAAAAUCUUUUUAAACAGAAAUUUGAAGAGACCCUAGACUCUUGAUAGUAAACACUUUUUUGGUGUAAUAAUAGCAUUGUUAUUACACUUUUAAAGGAAUUAUUUUAGAUAUAUAUAAAGAAAGAUUUAUCAAUGAAGUAUCAAUGCCAUAAGUAUUUAGAAAACAAAAUUAGGCUCUUGGAAAUUAAACACAAGAUAGCAGGAGUGGAAGAAAAGGUGAAGGUAUCCUUCAGAAUGCAGAGCAAAAAUCAAAAUGAUGAGAAUUAGAGAAAGUUUUUUAAAGAGAGUAGUCCAGGAAAUUUAACAUCCAAAUGUUGGGAGUUCCAGAAAGAGAAAACUCGCAGGAGGAAAUAACCAAGAACACUAUUCAACAAAACUUCCUAUUACUGAAAGACUUGAGAUCUUCCCUGAAUGUCCAUUUCAACAGAUAAAAAUCAAACAAAGCACAGCACUAUGAAGUCUCCAAACACUGUUGCCCAGUGUUCUGAAAUUGUUUGGAAAUCCUAAAGGCUUCCAAGGAAAAGGAACAUUCACAAACAAUCAGGAGUAAAAAUGAAUUGAAGCUAUUGAGAGAAACACCAAGAGUUAGAAGAUAAAUGGAACAGUAGCUUCAGGGCUCUAAAAGAAAAGUAUUUCCAACUUAGAAUUUGGAAUUAUCACACAGCCAUUCUCAAAGGAAUAUUGGAUGAUAGGCUUCACCUAAAUGUAAAGAGAAAAACAUGGCAUCCAGAGAAAAAGACUUCCCACACAGGAGACGGCUGGAGGGAAUUCCCAGAUUGAUGGUGAAGGGAGAUCCCAGGAUAACUGCUGGAAAACCAGCCAUAGAGGAUAAUUAUUGAGAAGCCUCUCCAAGAAGUCAGAGAGCCUUGUUUAGGAAGGUUAAAUUGAUAGAGCUUCUAUGGGAAUGACCAUACUGAAAAUCAUACAGGCAGCUGACAGAGUUGGGAUUAAAUUUGUGAUAACUACUUAGAAAACUAAAUCAUCAAAAAGGAUACAGUUAUUCCACCUUUUCUGUACAAACUAUAUUUCAGGGUCAUCAAAUAGUUGAUAAGAAAAAGUUCAUACUGAUAAGAAUUUUAGCUAAUUAAUGCAAAAGGAAUAUUGGCAUUUAAAAAUCGCCAUUUUAAACACCUGAUGAGGGAAUUGACAUAGGCAAUAAAAGUAUUAGAAUGAAAGGUAGUGUGAUGGAUAAUUUAACAUCAACUUGAUUGGGCUGCUGGGUGCCAGGAUACUUGGUUAAACAUUAUUCUGGGUGUGUUUGUGUUUCUGUAUAAGAUUAACAUUUUAAUCAGUAGAUUGAGUAAAGCAGGUGGCCCUCCCUAAUGUGGGUGGUCAUCAUCCAAUCAGUUGAAGGUCCGAGUAGAACAAGAAGAUGACUCUUCAAGUAAAAGGGAACUCUUCCUGUCUUGCUUCCUUGAGCUGAGACAUUGCUCUUUUCCUGCCUUCAGAACUGAACCGAAACACUGGCUCUUGGAUCUAGAGCUUGCUGUCUUUCAGACAAGAAAAUCCAUCACCUGCAGUCCUGGUUCUCAGGCCUUUGGACUUGGUCUGGAACUGCACCAUCAGCUCUCCUGGGUCUCCAGCCCGCUGACUGCAGAUCUUGGGACUUCUCAGCAUCCACAAUCAUGUGAGCCAAUUCCUUAUAUAUUCUUUAUAUCUAUCUAUCCUUUUGUUUCUGUUUCUCUGGAGAACCAUCACUAAUACAGGUAGGAAAAUAAAUUUUAUAAUGGAGAAAUCAGGGUGAUACCACUUGCAUCCACCAACCAAUCUUAGCAUCUCUAAAACUGAGACAGCAGAUUUUAGGUACCUUAAAAUGUGAUGUAAUACAAAAUAAUUAGCACUAUUACUUUAGUUUGGGUUGUUCAAGAAGCAAGCAUAAAAAGAAGGAUUUAAAUACGAGACAUUUAUUUGGGAGGUGAUUCCAGGAAACACCAUUAGUAGAGUGAUACAGGAACAAGACGUCCUUAAACAAUGUGCUAUCAGAGUUCCUGUUGUGGCUCAGCAGGUUAAGAACCCAACAUAGUGUCCAUGAGGAUGCAGGUUUAAUCCCUGGCCUCACUCAGUGGGUUAAGGACCUGGCCUUGCCCCAAGCUGCAGCGUAGGUCACAGAUGUGGCUCAGAUCCAGCAUUGCUACCCUGUGGCAUAGGAUGGCAGUUGCAGCUCCCAUUCAAUGCCUAUGCCUGAGAACUUCCAAAUGCCUCAGGUGCAGCC